RNAcentral lists this long non-coding RNA (8290 nucleotides) under Setaria italica (foxtail millet). Its description in RNAcentral is "long non-coding RNA (SITA_LNC005585)". Lineage: Eukaryota; Viridiplantae; Streptophyta; Magnoliopsida; Poales; Poaceae. The record is from RNAcentral.
AGCAUUAUGUUGUAAGAGCAUCUAGAGAAUGUGCAUGGCAUCUUAGAAGUUAUAGAAUGACUCUUUUCAGGUAUUAGCGAAGUAUACAUAGAUCAAGCGAAUCACAAGAUCACAGUGGUCGGGAUGGCUCACCCUGAGAGGAUCGUCAAGGCCAUCAGGAAGACCAAAAGGGUCCCAACUAUCUUCUCACACACUGAUCCCUCAGCCGAGGCUCAGCCUCUGCCUGCCGAAGGGGAGGCUCCACCACCCGCUGACCCACCAGCUGACGCCUCUCCAGCAGAGGCAGCUCCGUCCGAGCCCACACCGGAGACCAAGGAGGUGCCACCGGCAGAACCCCCGGUCAUGGAUGCCAUCGUGAUGAAUAAGAUGCAUGACUACCCGUAUGGUGACGGCCACCACCUGUACAGGGAGCACUGGGUGAACCACCCAAUGGACAUGCAUGGGGUUAGAUAUGAUGCUGCACCUUACCAUGUAACGCACAGCUACAGCUACCACAGUACGAGCCCCUACAUAGCCGAGUACGGCUAUGGAGGUUCUCCUGAUCAAGAAGGCAGGUCCUACAGCUAUAACUACUACCCGGGCAGGGGCAAAGGAGAUGGCAGCCAGAUCACUUCAAUGUUCAGUGAUGAGAACCCAAAACGCAUGCAGCAUAGUUUGAGAUCCAUAGGUGAUCUAAGCGAGGAGUUUGUUUCUUCAGACCCUUGAUGCCAUAGAAGGUUGCAUAGUGCAGAGACAGGUGAUGCAUGCUUUGGCCUAUGUAAAAGGGCUAGUGUUUAGUUGUAAGAUUUAAAUGUGGGGUUUGUAUGAUGCAAGUAAUUAAGAUGGGGAGUAAGGUAAUGGAAGUGGGAUAAUAAGAUGCUUAACGUGUAGUGGGAGAUGAUUUUCCUGGCAAUCACCACUAUUUUUACUAACCCUCCUCCCUCCACCUUACAGAAUCUAAUAAAGUUGUGCUCCUGUGUGCCAGUAAAAGGAAGUGGCACAGGUGCUCCACUGUUCCAUGGCCAAGUCUAGCUUUUUGACCUGUCUAGCAAGCAGCAUGACAGGGAUAGGCACAACACAUGUUAUUCUUAAAAUUUUCACAUCUCAUUUCUAUCACAUAAAGCACAGUGUCUCCUGUUGAAGAGCAAACCAUGACAAGGAGUCUAUUUGAAAACAUAAAGUUUCAUUGUGUUCUCAAAACUUAAGGCUCUUUAAUGGUAGCAAAAACUGGCUCUAUUCUAAUGCACUUUACUAUGCAGGAUAUCAGGAAUGAUGCAAACGGCGCAGUAGAUGAUUGCGAGAUGGCUCAGGUACUCCCCCCCCCCACCCCUCCUCCCCGACACCUCUCCUACCACCAGCCUCACGCCGGCGCCUACUCCGGGCACAGCAGCCACCUUCUCUAGUCCAGCUUCUCCCUCCCCGGCGUCGGGAACUUCUUCCCCUGCUUGCUGCCCAGCAGCCACUGGUUGUUCCAAGGCGCAAAGAUGGAUUGAUGGUUCGCCUUCCUCGGCUGGUUCUGGCGCCUCCCCUAUCUCGUUCAAGGAGGCCCUCCUCAAGGAUGUUUCGCCGGCGGUGGUCAGACGUGGCAACCGCGUGACUUCGCCAGCCUCGUCAGUGCGCGUUGUGCUGGCCCCGGCGCUUGAGGCGCCCCCGCCUCGUGCUGUGUUGGCCCCUUCGCGGCAGGUGCUACCCACCCGUUUUGUGCUGCGCCCGACGGCUAGCCCCGGUGUGCGCCGUGAACCUGACACGGAGGGGUGGAGGACGGUGGAAAGUCGGCGUGCCCGCCGCGCGCGCCUGCGUGUAGUCCGCCCACCUCGUCGACCGGUCCCUUCGGCACCUCCGAGGCAGGUGCUUCAACUGCUUCUCGUCAGAGCAUCGGGCCGACACCACGUUGUUUCCUUUGCCAGGAUAUCGGUCACCUGUCCUCCAUCUGUUGACGUCGACCCUCGGUGCUGCGCCCGGAAUCCUCCUCGGGUCAUCAUUUGGUCUGGCGGCCGGUGAAGUCCUGCGUGGCGGCGCCCCCUACCCCGGUGUGUUCAAUGGCGACCAUCCAGAAGGAUGGUGCUGAGGCAGGAGCUCCGGGAAGGCGACGUCAACGCCGAAGCAGGGGACGGCGUGCGGACGGCGGAAUUGGUCAAUCUUCAUCCAGCGUCCCCGUCACCUCCCCUGUUGAGGUGGUGGCCGGCCAUGCUCCCCCCUCGUCAUCCAGCAAUGAUGAUCAAGACCCGGUGGUACGGCCUCGAAAGAUCAUUGAUCGCUCAGCCGCCCUGAUCCAAAGAGAGGACGAGCUUUCUCGUGCACUGGUGGUGUCCGUGUUCGGGAAUGCUCUCGAUGACUCGCCAGAAUCCAUCAAGGCCACAAUUGCCCAGCGUUUCAGCUUGGAAGAUGAGGAGCUUAUCAUUCAUUGUUUUGGUGCUUCAAGUUUCCUGAUGACCUUUGCAAAUGCUGAUUCGGCGACACGGGUGUAUAAUGAAGGAAGGCCAAUCAUCACUCAUACUCAUCGCCUGCACGUCAGGCGCUGGUCCCGUCUCCUUCACUCCGCCGCGGCGGUGCUUUCAGUCCCUGUGGAGAUUGAGCUGCGGGGCAUCCCUGCUCACGCAUGGGACUUGGCAACGGCGGAACACCUUCUUAAUGAGUAUUGCUGGAUUGAAGGCCUCAACCCGGAUACUGAGAAUUGUAGGGACGUAUUCCGGGUGACAGCAUGGUGUUCUUCUCCAAGUGGUGUCCCUGAAGGUUUGGAAUUGGGGAUCGUGGAGCCACUGGUGGCCGGAGUUCAUCCACAUGAAGGAAGACGGUGUCUGGAUUAUCAGAUUGAGAUUUCGUGUUCUCCCGUUGAUUUGCAUCCGCCAGCUGAUGCCCCGCCACCCCUGCCUCGAGCUGACCAGCAGGGUGGUCGCCAUCGAAGGCGUUGGCGACGGCGGCGUGGCUCGCUGGCGGAAAGCCCUAGCUCAUCGGCGCCAGGGAGCUCGGCGAAGGCACGCUUCCCAGUGCAUGACAGGCUGGGGUCCAUUGGUGCUUCGUGCAACCUACUUUCUCCCAAUGCUACAAUUGAUGUGGCGCCGGCUGUUAAUUGCGGUCCGCCACCCGAAGAGUUCAUCAGGGAUGGUGCUUCUCCCGGCUCCAAGCUACCUGCGUGCCCUGAGGAGCCGGCAUGCGUAGCUCCUGCUGAGGUUGUAACGGCUGCGCGGGGAUCACCCGAGGCGCCCCGCUUCAAUGCUCUGGCUCCUGAUGACGAGGUCUGCACGUGGCCCGAAGAGUCCAGCAGGGAGGCCCAUGUGUGAGCAAUUCCCCCGGCGGCCAGAACGGCGGAUCCCCACGCGCACGAACCAUUUGAAGCGCCAGCAAUCAAUUCUGGGGAUUAUGGAACCGUAUCCAACACACAACCCGACGAGCCAAGCAAUCCCUCCUUGGAAGAUUUGGCGGCGCCCCUGUUGGUUGAAGAGCUCCAACCUGCUGAUGAUUUCCCGGGAAUCUCUAUCCUCCGGUUGACCGCGCCUGCUGCAUGCGGGCCAGCUCUGGAUGGGGAUGGACCCUUGGUGAUUUCUCAUGCGGAUCCUGAUGGAUUGCUGGCCCAACUGCCAGUGGACGGCCCUAUAAUGGAAAUUUUUCUCACGGGCCAUCAUGUACGGCCUUCAACGCCUAUCCAGCAACUCAGUGUCUCGACGGCGACGCCUUUUCAAACUCAAGACCAGAUGGCGGCGCCUCACACUCUCACUGCUGAUGGUUCUAGGGUUGGAACACUGAAGGUGUAUUCUCGCACAUGAGUCCGUACCAAGCCCCCUCCUACCUCCGAAACCUCUAGGGAGGUUACUGUCAGCAAUGUCUCAACUCCGGCAGCCCCUAUUCUGUCUAAAGUCUGCAAGCCAACUGAGAUGCUCCUUCCACAGCCGGUUAUUCACAAGAGGCGUGCCAAAGCAGCGGCUCCGGGCUCUUUACCUCGGCGAAGCAGGAGGGUGGCAGGUGUCGACCCUUGUUCCCCGAGGCCCAUCACUACUGCCUCCCAAAGGAGAGUGAUGAGGGCGCUUGGCUUUGAUUGCAGGAAAAAAUGGAUCCCAAGACCCAAGAUGAAUAUUUCAAGAUCAUGGGCAGUCGUCUCGCGGACACUCAUGUGGCUGCCAUGGCAGCCAUCUUUGGGUGGAGCCUAGAAGAGGAUUCUUAGGUAUGAGAUAUGGACACCCUGUAAUCCAUGUCUGAUUGGCUGUUGGUCGUCUCUAUUUUACUGUCUUAUCAAUGAAUCCGUCUUCUAUUUUGAUCUAGAAUGUGCGUAGUCUUGACCAAAAAAGCCGAUGUGAUGCCGUUGGUGAAGUCAUCCGAUCUACAAAUGCUCCAGUGGUUUGUCUUCAAGAAACCAAGGUUGCUGCCAUGACCCAGCGCAUUUUCCUCUCUGUAUUCGGUUCUGCUUAUGACAAAUUUGUGGCAUUACCAGUAGUUGGUACAAGAGGUGGAAUAUUAAUUGCCUGGAAAAGUAACAUGUGUCAGAUUCUAGCCUCUAGAGUGGACAACUUCUUUGUCUCUGUCCAUUUUGAGGAACUAAAAGGUCGUAAUUGGUGAUUUACAGGGGCUUAUGGGCCUCAAGAAGAUGAAGAUAAAAUAGCUUUCUUACAAGAACUCAGGGAUAUACGAGCCUUAUGUACUGGACCAUGGCUAAUUGGAGGGGAUCUCAACUUGAUUUAUCAAGCUGCUGAUAAAAACAAUGCCAACUUGGAUCGUGCCAUGAUGGGUCGUUUCAGGCGUUUCUUGGAUGAUGUGGAGGCUAAGGAAAUUCCGCUCUUAGGGCGAAAAUAUACUUGGUCAAAUGAACGUACCUCACCCACUCUUGUGAGACUAGACAGCCUUUUGCUGCCUGGAUUGGGAGAAUAUUUUCCCUGAUGCAGUCCUGCAAAGCAGUGCAUCUGUUGUCUCUGAUCAUUGCCCCUUGUUUUGGGAUUGAAGGUCUGUAAAAGUGGCAAGAGCAGAUUUCAUUUUGAGAGCUUCUGACUAAACUUCCUGGUUUCUCGGAAGCGGUCCAGAAAAAUUGGAAUGCCCCUGUACCAUCUUCUUGUGCAGUGGAGCGCCUAUUCCUAAAAUUGCAGAGACUUACCAGGGACCUCCAUAAAUGGGAACAGCAGAAAAUAGGUAAUGUCAAGCUACAGCUAGGAACGGCCAAAGAAAUUCUUCAUCACCUUGAGAUUGCUAGAGAUUCCAGGGAUCUUUCUCCCAGGGAGGAGUGGCUGAGGAAAAAACUUAAGCUCCACUGUUUGGGCUUGGCCUCCCUGGAACGGACUAUUGCUCGACUCCGUUCUAGAGUGCUUUAUCUUAAGGAAGGAGAUGCCAAUACAUCCUUUUUCCACCAGCAAGCUAGAUACAGGAAGAAGAAGAAUUUCAUUGCUAAAUUACAAGUGGGUGAUCAAACUGUCUUUGACCAAAAGGAUAAACAGGAAGCUGUAGAUCAAUUCUAUGAAGAUUUGUUGGGCACGGCUGAGGCACGAGAUUAUACCAUUGAUUUUGCCGAACUGGGGAUUCAACAACAUGAUCUGUCCGCUUUGGAAGUCCCUUUCACAGAAGAGGAAGUGUGGGCCACAAUUAAGGAGAUGCCCUUGGACAAGGCCCCAGGACCAGAUGGGUUUACUGGCAGGUUCUAUAAAACUUGCAGGAAUAUUAUCAAAGAGGAUGUCAUGUCGGCUCUGCGGUCCAUUCAUCGAGGUCAUGUGUUUCGUUUCAGGUUACUCAACACAACUCUUAUUUCGCUUUUGCCCAAGAAACAGGAUGCCCUCUCAGUCAAAGAUUUCAGACCCAUAAAUUUGAUUCACAGUUUUGCUAAACUUGUCACAAAAAUCAUGGCAAAUCGAUUAGCCCCUCUUUUGCCAAGCUUGAUCCCCCCGAAUCAGUGCUUUCAUAAAGGAAGGAACAUACACGAUAAUUUUUUGUUUGUCCAGCAGAUGGUCAAGUCGUUGCAUGCCAAAAAGGAAGCUCAUAUCCUCCUUAAAUUGGAUAUCUCCAAAGCUUUUGACUCGGUCUCAUGGCCUUUUCUCUUGGAAGUACUCCGUCAUUUGGGUUUUGGCCGUCGUUGGUGCAACCUGUUAUGUCUGAUACUGUCCACCUCAUCUACUCAGGUGCUGGUUAACGGGGAGCCGGGGGCUGGUUUCUUUCACCACCGUGGUCUCAGGCAGGGAGACCCGCUCUCACCUAUGUUUUUCAUCUUGGUUAUGGAGGUGCUGAAUUCUCUCAUCAAAUAUGCCACCAGACAAAACCUGUUGCAACUUCUUGCUGUCCGGCGCGUCUUACACAGGGCAUCUUUCUAUGCCGAUGAUGCAGUUAUUUUUUUCCGCCCAAAUCAGGAUGACCUCCGAGUGAUUAAGAUGAUUCUUGAUAUAUUUGGGCAUGCUUCUGGCCUCCAUACUAACUUUGCCAAAAGUUCAGCCUUUCCAAUUCAUUGCUCCCAGGAAGAGAUACACAUAACUUCUGAAUUAUUGGCAUGUCCAGUAAAGGAUUUUCCUUGUACUUAUCUUGGCUUGCCCCUCACAAUAAGAAAACCAACCAAGGAAGUCCUUCUGCCCCUUAUUGAUAAAGUCGCUGAUUACCUCCCAAAUUGGAAAGCUUCCCUUAUGAAUAGAGCAGGCCGUCUUAGUCAUUAAGGUGGUUCUAACAGCAUCUGUAAUCCACCAUCUCAUUGCGAUUGAUCUGCCAAAAUGGGUAGUCAAGGCAAUUGACAAGUAACGGCGCGGUUUUCUUUGAAAAGGGCAGGAACAGGCAAACGGAGGAAAUUGCUUGGUUUCAUGGGAAAAGGUUCAGCGCCCGUUAGAAUAUGGAGGCCUGGGCAUCCACAACCUUGAAUCCUUUGGCUAGGCCUUACGGAUCAGAUGGCUUUGGGCUCACAAAACAGAUCCUACCCAGCCAUGGGCUGGUCUGCAUAUUCAAGUACCUCACAAAGCACAAGCCUUGUUUAAUAUGGCUACAGUCUCAGUGCUUGGGAAUGGUGAGACAGUGCUCUUCUGGAAAGAUAGAUGGUUGGAGGGAAAGACCUUGGCUGAAAUAGCACCAAAUCUGUUCCAGACUAUUCCCAAAAGAAUUGUCAAGUCUAGAACAGUUGCUCAGGCUCUCUCCAAUAGGUGCUGGGUGUCAGACAUUAGAGGAGGACUGUCAGUUGAGGUCCUGAUGGAAUACCUGCUGCUCUGGGACCAAUUGGAUGGUGUCCAGCUUCAACAGAACACCCCUGACCACUAUAUUUGGAAGCUAACACAAUCCGGUCUUUAUUCUAGUAAGUCUGCUUAUGAGGCCUUCUUUGUGGGCUCUAUAAAAUUUAUACCAUGGAAAAGGAUUUGGAGAAGUUGGGCCCCUUUACGAUGCAAAUUCUUCAUUUGGCUGGCUAUCAAACAGAGACUUUGGACCGCUGACAGGCUGGCCAGCAGGGGACUGCAGCAUCCUCCAGCCUGCUUGCUCUGUGAUCAGGCACAAGAAACAGCCCCACAUUUGCUGUUAUCUUGUGUGUUCUCAAGACAAAUCUGGUGCUUGGUUUUCUCUCAUCUAAAUCUAGUAGUUGAUGUGCCGGCUGAUGCUACUAGCUUCUCAGCUUGGUGGGGCAAAUUAAUAAGAGCUACACCAAAGGAGUGGCGCAAGGGCUUAAAUUCACUCAUCAUUUUGGUGGCAUGGGAGAUUUGGAAGCAUCGGAAGUCUUGUGUGUUUGAAGGCUCUCUCCCUAACAUCCAGAUGCUCCUUCAGGCUAUAACUAAUGAAAGCACCCUGUGGUGCUUGGCUGGAGCCUCUCAUCUCAGCAAGUUGCUUGCUAGGUCGCUUCCUCCAGCAGCUUAGAUUUGGUGCUGGUUGGUCUGAUCCCUCCUGUUUUUUUGUGGCGCUUCAGUAAGGUUCCUCUGUUGUAGGUGUUGAGUUGUGUGAGUUGUGUGGGUGUGCUUGGUACUUAGUCUGGGGGCUCUCCCCCUCUCUAUGUACUCUUUUUUCUCUAUCUUAAAUGAAAUGACGCGCAGCUCUCCUGCGUUGUUCGAAAAAAAAGGAAUGAUGCAAACUUGAUGUCUAAUGCAUUUUCAUUUUUCUUGGGAGCAUAAGCAGGAUGUUUGUAUUUUCAUUAAGCUAGCAGAACACGUCCUGAAGUAGUAACUUCAUGCAGGAAAGUGAAAUUAUUUGAUAAAAUGAUAGCACAAUAACUUAGUUAAUUUCAUUUCACCAUGGAGCAAUAUCUCUAGCACAAUUAACAAGGCAUAAGGAAAAAUAAGAGGUGAGCACUGCUGCAGGGGAAGUACUGACCUGGGGAGGUAGUAACUGGAAUGAUAGAGACCAGUAUAAGAGGCCAAAAUGCACAUCACUGGAUGAGGCAAAU